CCUACGGGAGGCAGCAGUGGGGAAUAUUGCGCAAUGGGGGAAACCCUGACGCAGCGACGCCGCGUGAGCGAAGAAGGUCUUCGGAUCGUAAAGCUCUGUUUUAAGGGACGAAUGUUCAUGUGAGUAACUGCAUAUGAAAUGACGGUACCUUAAGAGGAAGCCCCGGCUAACUACGUGCCAGCAGCCGCGGUAAU
RNAcentral lists this ribosomal RNA (194 nucleotides) under uncultured bacterium. RNAcentral describes it as "partial 16S ribosomal RNA". It matches the Rfam family "Bacterial small subunit ribosomal RNA", at positions 338 to 524 of the family's 1533-position model. The record is from RNAcentral.